RNAcentral lists this unclassified non-coding RNA (353 nucleotides) under Hevea brasiliensis (rubber tree). The record is from RNAcentral. Lineage: Eukaryota; Viridiplantae; Streptophyta; Magnoliopsida; Malpighiales; Euphorbiaceae.
GGACACUUGUGCUUGCCAUGAUGAGUGAGCAUGUCACGGUAACAAGGGCAAAGAUCUUGGUUCCCAGAGGUGCCUGGAGGCACACAAUUACAACGAGUGCAACAAGUCCCACAUGCUCUCAAACACAUUUUAUGUCUUGAUGCUAGACUACAUCUUGCCUCACAUGCUGUUCCACACUCUGAUGUAGGGAUGUAAGUAGGGUUGUUAGCACCCUCUGGUCCAGCCGUGUGCACCGCUAAAUUGUCACCGUCACCGUUGCCAUUAGCUUCCACAGGACGAAAAACAAGUAGAGAAAUCAAAACCAUAGUAACAAGAAGAAAUUUGGAGAUGGCCAUGGCUAACACACAUUAAAA